Molecule: ribosomal RNA, 254 nt
Filed under: uncultured bacterium
Lineage: Bacteria
Description: partial 16S ribosomal RNA
Rfam family: Bacterial small subunit ribosomal RNA
Source: RNAcentral
UACGUAGGGACCAAGCGUUGUCCGGAUUUAUUGGGCGUAAAGAGCUCGUAGGCGGCUCAGUAAGUCGGAUGUGAAAACUCGGGGCUCAACCCCGAGACGCCAUCCGAUACUGCUGUGGCUUGAAUCUGGUAGGGGAGCACGGAAUUCCUGGUGUAGCGGUGAAAUGCGCAGAUAUCAGGAGGAACACCGGCGGCGAAGGCGGUGCUCUGGGCCAGUAUUGACGCUGAGGAGCGAAAGCGUGGGUAGCAAACAGG